This 1221-nucleotide long non-coding RNA is filed under the name Anolis carolinensis (green anole). Its description in RNAcentral is "lncRNA (ENSACAG00000039074.1)". Lineage: Eukaryota; Metazoa; Chordata; Lepidosauria; Squamata; Anolidae. The record is from RNAcentral.
CAGAUACUGUGGGAGUUUCUGCCUUGAUAUUCUGGGUUAUAAAGCUGUGUGGAAAGGCCCUGGAACAGGAUUGUUUUCCUCCUCUGCAAGGCCUUCCCAAAGUGAGUCUCGCUGAGUUCCACCGGACUUCAAUCAGCGACCAAUGGAAUUGCCGCCUUCAGCAAAGCAGCUGAAGCGGAAGAAGGCGGGGCCAGGAGGCGCGCCCAUUGUGACGCAAUAAGUCGCUGUUCCGAUUAACGCACUACUCCCUCCGACACGGCUCGCACGGAAAGCUCGCGCGUGCCUUUACAGCUGCAGCGACAACCAAUGUAGUAGUGACGUCAGCAGCUUUGCUUUCAGCCAUUGGCGCUUCCCGCGGGAAAGAUGGGCUCAUAAGGCGGCGUUGAGCGACGGCUCUUUCCUUUCGCCUCUUGCGUUGCUUCUGACGGCUGGCGUCCACGCGGGUUGGAGUCACGGUUGCAAAAAAUGACAUCCAAUUCCCUAAGUGUUAACCAUCGCAUGCAACGCACAGCAACACUUGCACAGGAAGUUCUGGAACGGGCAAAAUCACGAAAAUUAAACUGGCCAAUUCCUGGUCAGCUCCAAAGGAGGACCUUCCGGGAAGGGGAUGGUGAAGAUGCAUGUUUUGCUGCAGCCUUUGCUUCAGUUGCUGAACACAUGGGCCACAUCUCUGCAGCAUGUGAGAGACCUUGUCAGGUGUUCCUUAUAUUUCUCCAGCCUAAAUCCAGGGAAAUUAUUUGUGGAUGUGGCCUGGUUUUUUUCAUGCGUUUCAUUACUACAACAUUCUCAAGCCUUAGGAACUACUACUGCUGUGUGUCUCCACUUCAGUUUAAGGAGUGUGAAGUUGCCCAUAUCUUUAGAUACCACAGCAGGCAAGCAUCUGAAAAUCUGUUGAAAGCAUUUGAAAAUGAAGAAAGUAAACAUGGUCCAAUAGUGGAAGAACCUGGGUGUCCAGAUACAGAAUCAUCUGCAUUAGUUCCAGCUAAGACCUCUGAUACAAAAGAAAGUAAACAUGAUCCAAUAGUGGAAGAACCUGGGUGUCCAGAUACAGAACCAUCUGCAUUAGUUCCAGCUAAGACCUCUGAUACAAAAGAUAUCUAUGUUGAAGUUUCUCCUGGCACCUACAGCGUCAGCGCAUCUUUGCAUGAAGACGGAAUCAAACAAACACAUCUGCUGAAGAUUAAGCCAGGAGAAAGUGUAAAUUUGACUUUUGAUUUCUAA